CAGGCUUAACACAUGCAAGUCGAGGGGCAUCAGGAAGAAAGCUUGCUUUCUUUGCUGGCGACCGGCGCACGGGUGAGUAACACGUAUCCAACCUGCCCUUUACUCGGGGAUAGCCUUUCGAAAGAAAGAUUAAUACCCGAUAGCAUAAUGAUUCCGCAUGGUUUCAUUAUUAAAGGAUUCCGGUAAAGGAUGGGGAUGCGUUCCAUUAGGUUGUUGGUGAGGUAACGGCCCACCAAGCCUUCGAUGGAUAGGGGUUCUGAGAGGAAGGUCCCCCACAUUGGAACUGAGACACGGUCCAAACUCCUACGGGAGGCAGCAGUGAGGAAUAUUGGUCAAUGGGCGCUAGCCUGAACCAGCCAAGUAGCGUGAAGGAUGAAGGCUCUAUGGGUCGUAAACUUCUUUUAUAUAAGAAUAAAGUGCAGUAUGUAUACUGUUUUGUAUGUAUUAUAUGAAUAAGGAUCGGCUAACUCCGUGCCAGCAGCCGCGGUAAUACGGAGGAUCCGAGCGUUAUCCGGAUUUAUUGGGUUUAAAGGGAGCGUAGGUGGACUGGUAAGUCAGUUGUGAAAGUUUGCGGCUCAACCGUAAAAUUGCAGUUGAUACUGUCAGUCUUGAGUACAGUAGAGGUGGGCGGAAUUCGUGGUGUAGCGGUGAAAUGCUUAGAUAUCACGAAGAACUCCGAUUGCGAAGGCAGCUCACUGGACUGCAACUGACACUGAUGCUCGAAAGUGUGGGUAUCAAACAGGAUUAGAUACCCUGGUAGUCCACACAGUAAACGAUGAAUACUCGCUGUUUGCGAUAUACAGUAAGCGGCCAAGCGAAAGCAUUAAGUAUUCCACCUGGGGAGUACGCCGGCAACGGUGAAACUCAAAGGAAUUGACGGGGGCCCGCACAAGCGGAGGAACAUGUGGUUUAAUUCGAUGAUACGCGAGGAACCUUACCCGGGCUUAAAUUGCAGUGGAAUGAUGUGGAGACAUGUCAGUGAGCAAUCACCGCUGUGAAGGUGCUGCAUGGUUGUCGUCAGCUCGUGCCGUGAGGUGUCGGCUUAAGUGCCAUAACGAGCGCAACCCUUAUCUUUAGUUACUAACAGGUUAUGCUGAGGACUCUAGAGAGACUGCCGUCGUAAGAUGUGAGGAAGGUGGGGAUGACGUCAAAUCAGCACGGCCCUUACGUCCGGGGCUACACACGUGUUACAAUGGGGGGUACAGAAGGCAGCUAGCGGGUGACCGUAUGCUAAUCCCAAAAUCCUCUCUCAGUUCGGAUCGAAGUCUGCAACCCGACUUCGUGAAGCUGGAUUCGCUAGUAAUCGCGCAUCAGCCACGGCGCGGUGAAUACGUUCCCGGGCCUUGUACACACCGCCCGUCAAGCCAUGGGAGCCGGGGGUACCUGAAGUACGUAACCGCAAGGAUCGUCCUAGGGUAAAACUGGUGACUGGGGCUAAGUCAUAACA
Molecule: ribosomal RNA, 1447 nt
Filed under: uncultured organism
Description: 16S ribosomal RNA
Rfam family: Bacterial small subunit ribosomal RNA
Source: RNAcentral